GAUGAACGCUGGCGGCGUGCCUAAUACAUGCAAGUCGAGCGAACGGACGAGAAGCUUGCUUCUCUGAUGUUAGCGGCGGACGGGUGAGUAACACGUGGAUAACCUACCUAUAAGACUGGGAUAACUUCGGGAAACCGUAGCUAAUACCGGAUAAUAUUUUGAACCGCAUGGUUCAAAAGUGAAAGACGGUCUUGCUGUCACUUAUAGAUGGAUCCGCGCUGCAUUAGCUAGUUGGUAAGGUAACGGCUUACCAAGGCAACGAUGCAUAGCCGACCUGAGAGGGUGAUCGGCCACACUGGAACUGAGACACGGUCCAGACUCCUAUGGGAGGCAGCAGUAGGGAAUCUUCCGCAAUGGGCGAAGGCCUGACGGAGCAACGCCGCGUGAGUGAUGAAGGUCUUCGGAUCGUAAAACUCUGUUAUUAGGGAAGAACAUAUGUGUAAGUAACUGUGCACAUCUUGACGGUACCUAAUCAGAAAGCCACGGCUAACUACGUG
RNAcentral lists this ribosomal RNA (497 nucleotides) under uncultured bacterium. RNAcentral describes it as "partial 16S ribosomal RNA". It matches the Rfam family "Bacterial small subunit ribosomal RNA", at positions 28 to 507 of the family's 1533-position model. The record is from RNAcentral.